RNAcentral lists this ribosomal RNA (495 nucleotides) under uncultured bacterium. RNAcentral describes it as "partial 16S ribosomal RNA". It matches the Rfam family "Bacterial small subunit ribosomal RNA", at positions 28 to 507 of the family's 1533-position model. The record is from RNAcentral.
GACGAACGCUGGCGGCGUGCCUAAUACAUGCAAGUCGAACGCUGAAGGAGGAGCUUGCUUCUCUGGAUGAGUUGCGAACGGGUGAGUAACGCGUAGGUAACCUGCCUGGUAGCGGGGGAUAACUAUUGGAAACGAUAGCUAAUACCGCAUAAGAGUAGAUGUUGCAUGACAUUUGCUUAAAAGGUGCAAUUGCAUCACUACCAGAUGGACCUGCGUUGUAUUAGCUAGUUGGUGGGGUAACGGCUCACCAAGGCGACGAUACAUAGCCGACCUGAGAGGGUGAUCGGCCACACUGGGACUGAGACACGGCCCAGACUCCUACGGGAGGCAGCAGUAGGGAAUCUUCGGCAAUGGACGGAAGUCUGACCGAGCAACGCCGCGUGAGUGAAGAAGGUUUUCGGAUCGUAAAGCUCUGUUGUAAGAGAAGAACGAGUGUGAGAGUGGAAAGUUCACACUGUGACGGUAGCUGACCAGAAAGGGACGGCUAACUACGUG